Molecule: ribosomal RNA, 500 nt
Filed under: uncultured bacterium
Lineage: Bacteria
Description: partial 16S ribosomal RNA
Rfam family: Bacterial small subunit ribosomal RNA
Source: RNAcentral
AUUGAACGCUGGCGGAAUGCUUUACACAUACAAGUCGAACGGCAGCACGGACUUCGGUCUGGUGGCGAGUGGCGAACGGGUGAGUAAUGUAUCGGAACGUGCCCAGUCGUGGGGGAUAACGUAGUGAAAAUUACGCUAAUACCGCAUACGAUCAAGGGAUGAAAGCGGGGGAUCGCAAGGCCUCGCGCGAUUGGAGCGGCCGAGAGCAGAUUAGGUAGUUGGUGGGGUAAAGGCCCACCAAGCCCACGAUCUGUAGCUGGUCUGAGAGGACGACCAGCCACACUGGAACUGAGACACGGUCCAGACUCCUACGGGAGGCAGCAGUGGGGAAUGUUGGACAAUGGGCGAAAGCCUGAGCCAGCCAUUCCGCGUGCAGGAUGAAGGUCUUCGGGUUGUAAACUGCUUUUGUACGGAACGAAAAGGUUUCUACUAAUACUCGGGGCUCAUGACGGUACUGUAAGAAUAAGCACCGGCUAACUACGUGCCAGCCGCCGCCGUAA